UACGGGAGGCAGCAGUGGGGAAUAUUGCACAAUGGAGGAAACUCUGAUGCAGCGACGCCGCGUGAGUGAAGAAGUAUUUCGGUAUGUAAAGCUCUAUCAGCAGGAAAGAAAAUGACGGUACCUGGCUAAGAAGCCCCGGCUAACUACGUGCCAGCAGCCGCGGUAAU
Molecule: ribosomal RNA, 167 nt
Filed under: uncultured rumen bacterium
Lineage: Bacteria
Description: partial 16S ribosomal RNA
Rfam family: Bacterial small subunit ribosomal RNA
Source: RNAcentral